GGAGGAAGAAGAAGAAGGAAGAGGUGGAGGAAGAUGAGAAGAGGAUGAGAAGAAGAAAAGAGAAAAAAAAAGAAAAGGACUCCCUGGACUGCGACUCCACUAUGACCCAAGAGGAGGUGGCCACUCAAUGCUGAGGUCACACAGCUCCCAUCCUUAUGCAGAAAAGUCAAGCCAAGAGUCCCUGAAUGCUGCGAAGGAGACACACUGCUGCUGGAACACUGCACCACCUAGCCAAGCCAAGCCACAACACAACACAA
Molecule: long non-coding RNA, 257 nt
Organism: Portunus trituberculatus (swimming crab)
Lineage: Eukaryota; Metazoa; Arthropoda; Malacostraca; Decapoda; Portunidae
Exons: 3
Source: RefSeq, a predicted model, not a curated record